Molecule: long non-coding RNA, 740 nt
Organism: Gordionus sp. m RMFG-2023
Lineage: Eukaryota; Metazoa; Nematomorpha; Gordioida; Chordodea; Parachordodidae
Exons: 4
Source: RefSeq, a predicted model, not a curated record
AGUUCGAAUUAUUUUAAUAGCUUCCCUAAUAAAAGGGAAGCUAAAUAUAAUAUAAUUCAUUCGUUUUUGUAAUAAUUUUAUGUUAAUAAUAGAAUGAAAAAUUUGUAAAUAUUUCUAAACUAAUUCUGGAAAUAAUAUUCAGGAUAGAAACGGAACCACGUUUGGGCGGCAGCGUAAAAAUUAAAUCGUACCCUAGUAAUCAUGUAGAAUGUUAAGAAUAUCCAAAAUAUGACGGUUUGUAUCGCGGAGUAUAUGGACAUGCCCAGUAUGAUUUCGUCAAAAACUUCCGCUUUGAGUUGGAACGAAAUUUCCGCUCUGAGAAACGCAGGUGUCCAACCAAACGCAAUGAUGGUCGUAGUUCACAACGCAUUUAUUGCAGCACCUGCAAUGCUUAGUGUCAGGCGGACUUUUUAUAUAGAUUAUACACUUGAACUUGGCAAAGAUGGCAAAAGUCAUCUUCUAUAAUGUUGUAAUGGUCAUCUGUUUUGUUCCAUCUCGGAACUUUCCUAUUUGCCGGCAAUUUUCGAACUAGAUCAGGGGAAACGUCUUUGCUCGAAGCGAUAAAGUAGGUUACCGUGAAAAGAAUCGCGGAAGACAUUCCUACCUUUUCUCCAAUAGUUUUAGGAAAUAAUAAUAUUUUUUUUUGAGCAGUAUAUACCAAUUAAUUGAGUUUAAAUUGUAUUAUGAUGUAUGCGCUCGUAAUGUGUGUUCAACUUUAGUAUACGCAUUAUAAGGUUAUA